GUUGACCUCGGAUCAGGUAGGAAUACCCGCUGAACUUAAGCAUAUCAAUAAGCGGAGGAAAAGAAACCAACAGGGAUUGCCCCAGUAACGGCGAGUGAAGCGGCAACAGCUCAAAUUUGAAAUCUGGCCCCAGGCCCGAGUUGUAAUUUGCAGAGGAUGCUUUUGGCGCGGUGCCUUCCGAGUUCCCUGGAACGGGACGCCAUAGAGGGUGAGAGCCCCGUACGGUUGGACACCAAGCCUUUGUAAAGCUCCUUCGACGAGUCGAGUAGUUUGGGAAUGCUGCUCUAAAUGGGAGGUACAUUUCUUCUAAAGCUAAAUAUUGGCCAGAGACCGAUAGCGCACAAGUAGAGUGAUCGAAAGAUGAAAAGCACUUUGAAAAGAGGGUUAAACAGCACGUGAAAUUGUUAAAAGGGAAGCGCUUGUGACCAGACUUGCGUCCGGUGAAUCACCCAGCUCUCGCGGCUGGGGCACUUCGCCGGCACAGGCCAGCAUCAGCUUGCCGUCGGGGACAAAAGCUUCAGGAACGUGGCUCCUCUCGGGGAGUGUUAUAGCCUGUUGCAUAAUACCCUUCGGCGGGCUGAGGUACGCGCUCCGCAAGGAUGCUGCCGAAAUGGUCAUCAGCGAC
Molecule: ribosomal RNA, 625 nt
Filed under: Colletotrichum nymphaeae
Lineage: Eukaryota; Fungi; Ascomycota; Sordariomycetes; Glomerellales; Glomerellaceae
Description: eukaryotic LSU rRNA
Rfam family: Eukaryotic large subunit ribosomal RNA
Source: RNAcentral